UUUGGAGAUGGAGCGGGCCGGGGCGGGGCACGCUGCCGGCGGGGAGCCGGCCCGGGAAAAGCCUUUUAUGGACAGGACCCUGCCCGGACUUACGGCUGCUCCUACUUCACUGUUCUCUGGCCCCGAGUUUGAGAAGAGGGGGAGUUCAAUAGAGUCUGGCUGGAGAGAGGGGCAAGGGGCUGGGGAGCCGGGAAUCCCAGGGGUUUGUGGGGACAAACCAGCCACCCUCUCCUCCUGGGGCUUUUAGCUCUGAUGGGACAUGGGAUCCAACCUUUCCUGAGGACCUACUCCACACCAGGCCCUUUGCAGUGCUCUCAUUGAAUACUCACAGCUACAGUGUGAGGGUGUAAUUACAUCCCCAUUUUAUAGAUGAGGAAACUGAGGCCCCGAGUGCGUCUUCCUCAAGGCCACAUGGUGAAUGGAACAGUCCCUACCAGCCUGGAAAACAGACCAGCCUCUGUCACUCCAGAGAUAACCCACUCUCAUCUUGCUCGUACCUGGCUUCAGGGAUCUUGGGGAGAGAUAAGAGGUUAAAAAAGGGACAUAUCAAAACUCCCUCCUCUUGGAGCCUGCCCAGCUUUCAUCACCCUCCUGCCUCGGCCUGCACGCUGAGCGGAUUAUAAACGCCGCAUCAGGGAGCACUGCUUGGGCCUGUGGCUUGGUGAGCUGGGGGCCGCUCAGGUCAGAGGUGAAGUGAGCCUCAGUCUGGUGGGCGGGGCCAGGUGGGCAGAGACUGCUGUUCCUGGGGAGGUAAGGAGGGAUGUCUGCAGUGGGAUGGCGUGGGAAAGGCUUUUCCAGGAACUGGCCUCUGUCCAGCACAGUGCCCCGGUAAAUGUUUACUGAAUUAAUGCUGUUGCUGGAGGGACAGGAAAAACGGGAGAAUCAAGAAAACGGAAAUGCAACCAUAGCAUGGAGACGCUCUGAGAAAAGAUCCAGACCCACCUCAUCUCCCA
Molecule: long non-coding RNA, 953 nt
Filed under: Homo sapiens (human)
Lineage: Eukaryota; Metazoa; Chordata; Mammalia; Primates; Hominidae
Description: HSALNT0181732
Source: RNAcentral